This 346-nucleotide ribosomal RNA is filed under the name uncultured Rikenellaceae bacterium. Its description in RNAcentral is "bacterial SSU rRNA". It matches the Rfam family "Bacterial small subunit ribosomal RNA", at positions 1043 to 1382 of the family's 1533-position model. The record is from RNAcentral. Lineage: Bacteria; Pseudomonadati; Bacteroidota; Bacteroidia; Bacteroidales; Rikenellaceae.
GCAUGGUUGUCGUCAGCUCGUGCCGUGAGGUGUCGGGUUAAGUCCCAUAACGAGCGCAACCCCCUACUGCUAGUUGCCAGCGGGUCAUGCCGGGGACUCUAGCGGAACUGCCAGCGUAAGCUGCGAGGAAGGUGGGGAUGACGUCAAAUCAGCACGGCCCUUACGUCCAGGGCUACACACGUGUUACAAUGGCCAGUACAGAGGGCAGCCACCCCGCGAGGGGGCGCUAAUCCUAAAAGCUGGUCCCAGUUCGGAUCGGAGUCUGCAACCCGACUCCGUGAAGCUGGAUUCGCUAGUAAUCGCGCACUCAGCCAACGGCGACGGUGAAUACGGUUCCCGGGCCGUU